Molecule: ribosomal RNA, 786 nt
Filed under: uncultured Actinobacillus sp.
Lineage: Bacteria; Pseudomonadati; Pseudomonadota; Gammaproteobacteria; Pasteurellales; Pasteurellaceae
Description: bacterial SSU rRNA
Rfam family: Bacterial small subunit ribosomal RNA
Source: RNAcentral
CGGACGGGUGAGUAAUGCUUGGGAAUCUGGCUUAUGGAGGGGGAUAACUACGGGAAACUGUAGCUAAUACCGCGUAAUAUCUUCGGAUUAAAGGGUGGGACUUUCGGGCCACCUGCCAUAAGAUGAGCCCAAGUGGGAUUAGGUAGUUGGUGGGGUAAAGGCCUACCAAGCCGACGAUCUCUAGCUGGUCUGAGAGGAUGACCAGCCACACUGGAACUGAGACACGGUCCAGACUCCUACGGGAGGCAGCAGUGGGGAAUAUUGCACAAUGGGGGGAACCCUGAUGCAGCCAUGCCGCGUGAAUGAAGAAGGCCUUCGGGUUGUAAAGUUCUUUCGGUGAUGAGGAAGGUGUUUGUUUUAAUAGAGCAAGCAAUUGACGUUAGUCACAGAAGAAGCACCGGCUAACUCCGUGCCAGCAGCCGCGGUAAUACGGAGGGUGCGAGCGUUAAUCGGAAUGACUGGGCGUAAAGGGCACGCAGGCGGUGACUUAAGUGAGAUGUGAAAGCCCCGAGCUUAACUUGGGAAUUGCAUUUCAUACUGGGUCGCUAGAGUACUUUAGGGAGGGGUAGAAUUCCACGUGUAGCGGUGAAAUGCGUAGAGAUGUGGAGGAAUACCGAAGGCGAAGGCAGCCCCUUGGGAAUGUACUGACGCUCAUGUGCGAAAGCGUGGGGAGCAAACAGGAUUAGAUACCCUGGUAGUCCACGCUGUAAACGCUGUCGAUUUGGGGAUUGGGCUUUAAGCUUGGUGCCCGUAGCUAACGUGAUAAAUCGACCGCCUGGGGAGUAC